GCAGGUCACUGAGAAAAAUGCCGGAUCCGGCAAGUGUUCUGGAAUUUUAGAUGGAGAUAAAACGUCAGCAUACUGCGGAAUUAUCUCAGUCCUGAAAAGUCAUAAAAAGACUGAACUGAAGACAUCCUGAACGGAUUGCUCUCCAUUCAGAAUGCAUGGGGAUAAAACUGAUCAGUUCUUUUCCGGUAUUGAGCCCCUAGGACGGAACUCAGUGCUGGAAAAGAAUAACGCUGGUGUGACUGUACCCUUAGGGAUAAAACCUUCCCCUGUGUUCCUGCAGCAGCUCUAAGCAGGCAGUAGUAUAGGCAAAUACCUUCAUCAGUGCAACCGCUGUUACUGGCGUCAUCCAGCUCAAUACUUUUGACUGGGAGCACAUCUAGAACAAUCGCCAAAAUGAUCACACCAUAUGGUAUAUGUGGCAUGUACCUGAGCCAUGUAGGAUUCACAUCUGAGACCCAACACCAGAAGUGACACAGACACUUAAAGGAACAACAAGAAACCAAACAGCGGUAGCUUAAAAUGUUUAAUUUAUAAAAACAGAACCUAAAAAUAUUAAAAUGAUCUCUACGCACUGCAAUCUUUACAAGACGGCAUGCUGAUUAAUAGACUUCAGCUCCCUUUUGUAAUGAGCCACCAGCAGGGGGCUGACAAGGUGUUACACAUUUAUGUUGUCGAGCGCUGCAGGCCCCCUGCUGGUGAGCUGGAGUAAUGCAGCAAUUGUUUUAAAAUCAGCAGAAAAAUACUGCGUUCCCUUUCUACCUGAUCUCAAAUGCCCUGUAGGAAGGAAGGGAAAUGUCAUCAUGAUACUGCAGCCUGGAAUCCAGGUGCUCGGGAGGAAUAUGCCUGCGUCAAUAACAAAAUUUAAGCCGAGGGUCAAUGCAAAUUUUUAAGGUGUACGGUUUUUGAGAGGUUGCCUCCAGCAUUUUACGAAUUUUAUGGAGGCCAGAAAGUGCAGCCAUAUUGGUUGUCACUAUUGAAUUGAAGCGUCUAAGCAGAUGAUUAAAUGCAUCGUAUAUUAAUUCAUUUUACACAAAUUUUACAACAGUCAUCAGGUGAGGGGGAAAUUAUUUAGGAAAAAAAAUAAAAUA
Molecule: long non-coding RNA, 1088 nt
Organism: Bufo bufo (common toad)
Lineage: Eukaryota; Metazoa; Chordata; Amphibia; Anura; Bufonidae
Exons: 3
Source: RefSeq, a predicted model, not a curated record